GCGCCGGCGCAGGCGCAGAGAGACACAACGACGUCUACUUUGUUCCUUGGGUUACACAUUUCCUGAGAGUAUCUACAUAUUCAUAGGCAACACCGAUGUGAAUGUGACAGAUUAGCUCCAGAAAGAAAGCAGUGUGAAAAAGAUGAAACACAGAUUUGAAAGCAAUCUUGAAGAUCAGACAGAAAACCAGCCUAUGAAUCAAAGAAGAAAAUCAAAAUCAGACUUCAUAACUGCUUCAGUAACCCUUGGCAACAGACAACACACUGGAUUUUGGCGAAUAACACUAAAAUUUUUGCUGGUGAGGUCUUCAGAAACUGGAUAGAUGUGAAACCACCAGAACAGAAGUGGAGCGGGCAUGGUAUCUGUUUCUUCAAUUUGUAGUUUUAUAGUCAAAAACUGGCAUGUAUAUACUUAAUUGGUAACAUGUAAGUCACGUGCCUCUAUCCCAACUCUAAGAGAGGUUGAGAACUUAAUUUCUGGCUUCUACCUUGGGAAGGAUCAGGCUUAUAAGCUGGAAAAUUAGCCAACAUACACAGGAUAUUCAAAGCUUCUAGGCAGUCAAAAUACUGUCAAGUGGUAAAACAGACAUGAAAAAACCUUUUUUUCUCUCCUAAAUUUAAAAAAAUAUAAUUUUUGUAAAACACUGUAUGUGGCUUUCCAUAAAAUUAAAAGAGUCUUGGGAGAGAGAACAUCUCAAAAAAAAAAAAAAAAAAAAAA
This 717-nucleotide long non-coding RNA is filed under the name Homo sapiens (human). RNAcentral's name for it is "long independently transcribed non-coding RNA 1986 (LINC01986)". Lineage: Eukaryota; Metazoa; Chordata; Mammalia; Primates; Hominidae. The record is from RNAcentral.